Molecule: ribosomal RNA, 407 nt
Filed under: uncultured bacterium
Lineage: Bacteria
Description: bacterial SSU rRNA
Rfam family: Bacterial small subunit ribosomal RNA
Source: RNAcentral
UGGGGAAUAUUGCACAAUGGGCGCAAGCCUGAUGCAGCAACGCCGCGUGAGGGACGACGGCCUUCGGGUUGUAAACCUCUUUUGGCAGGGAAGAAGCGAAAGUGACGGUACCUGCAGAAAAAGCACCGGCUAACUACGUGCCAGCAGCCGCGGUGAUACGUAGGGUGCAAGCGUUGUCCGGAAUUAUUGGGCGUAAAGAGCUCGUAGGCGGUUUGUCGCGUCUGCUGUGAAGACCCGAGGCUCAACCUCGGGCCUGCAGUGGGUACGGGCAAACUAGAGUGCGGUAGGGGAGAUUGGAAUUCCUGGUGUAGCGGUGGAAUGCGCAGAUAUCAGGAGGAACACCGAUGGCGAAGGCAGAUCUCUGGGCCGUAACUGACGCUGAGGAGCGAAAGCAUGGGGAGCGAACA